CGUAUAUUCUAGUGAGUAAGGAGGUGUGAUGGUAAGCGUUGAAGGGUCUGGGUGUAAACCUGCCCGGAGCUGCCAUCGGCACAGAUCUUGGUGGUAGUAGCAAAUACUCAAGUGAGAUCCUUGAGGGCUGACGUGGAGAAGGGUUCCAUGUGAACAGCAAUUGCACAUGGGUGAGUCGUUCCUAAGCCAAAGGCGAAAGCCACGCUCAUAAACUUGUGGCCACAUGAAUCUUAUAAAAAAUAUACCAUGCCAGAAACAGCACCGAAUGGAUAGGCUAUCCUCAGGUGCUCGUGGAAGCAAUAAUGGUUAUUUUUUCUUUCGAGUGAGCCUGCAAGGAGUUUGGCGAAAGGGAAUCCGGUACUCAUUCCGGAACCUGGACAUGAGGAGUAGUGUUGCUUUAUGCAUCACAUAGCCGCAAGGCAUUACCAUCCUGGAGAAUCCAACCAGAGAGCCGGGAAGAGUUGUCUUUUCUGCUUAAGGGGAAGAGGGCCUUGUGAACUGGGUCGGUCAGAGAGAGGGUCUUUUCCCCGAAUAGCACCGCGGUUCUUGCGGAGUCCAGCUCCUCUGGUAUGGAACUUGAAAAUCCAGGGGUAAGAUGAAAUA
RNAcentral lists this ribosomal RNA (603 nucleotides) under Candona quasiakaina. RNAcentral's name for it is "LSU rRNA". It matches the Rfam family "Eukaryotic large subunit ribosomal RNA", at positions 1366 to 1831 of the family's 3401-position model. Lineage: Eukaryota; Metazoa; Arthropoda; Ostracoda; Podocopida; Candonidae. The record is from RNAcentral.